This 352-nucleotide ribosomal RNA is filed under the name Piptocephalis lepidula. Its description in RNAcentral is "bacterial SSU rRNA". It matches the Rfam family "Eukaryotic small subunit ribosomal RNA", at positions 594 to 945 of the family's 1831-position model. The record is from RNAcentral. Lineage: Eukaryota; Fungi; Zoopagomycota; Zoopagomycetes; Zoopagales; Piptocephalidaceae.
AUAGCGUAUAUUAAAGUUGUUGCAGUUAAAAAGCUCGUAGUUGAAUUUCGGGGAUGGGUCGGGGGGUCCGUCGGCAACGAUGUGUACUGCUAAUCGACCCUCCCUUUCCUCCUGGGCGAUCGCGAUUCCCGCAAGGGGCGUGAUCCACUCCAGGAAUUUUACUUUGAAAAAAUUAGAGUGUUCAAAGCAGGCAUAACCGCUUGUAUACAUUAGCAUGGAAUAAUAGAAUAGGACAGUGGUCCUAAUUUUGUUGGCUUUCAGGACCGCAGUAAUGAUAAAUAGGAACAGUUGGGGGCAUUUGUAUUGGGGAGCUAGAGGUGAAAUUCUUGGAUUUCCCCAAGACAAACUACUG